GGGCCCGCCGCCCGGCGCUCCUGAUUGGCCUGCACUGUGUGACGUCACUGGCACGGGGCCUCGCCACAGGCAGGUAUGCAGUGACGCCAUAAAGAAAUCGGAGCGCCUCGGCCAAUCCGCGGCGAAGUGUGCGGGCGAACCCCCACCCCCGGCCGACCCCACCCCCGUCUCCCGGGCGACCGCCCAGAGCCUGGGUUCCCAACUUCCAGAUCUGCGAGCUCUGCCGGCGGUUCUCUGCCAAGGUCCUGCCAAGUUGGGUUCUCCGUGGUAUUCGCGCCAAGCGAGAGACCCUCCAGGGCUGCCGGCGUGCGAAGGAGCACUGGCUGGUGCGAUCGUGAAACCGUACAGAGACAGAGCUGAUCUCAGAUUUUAGCACCGCGCAAAUCUGCUGCGCCAGGUUCCCCAACCUGCAGACCGACUCACAGGGCUCUUGAAGGUAUCCAACCUUAUGUUCGAGCAACAUAAGAAAAGGGACCAAGCACUGGCCAGAGGGCCAGGAGGACAGAGUCCAGCCUCAGCUCAGCCCGCCCCAGGUGGUCCUGCCCUGCCCCCUCUCUGAUCCCUGUGUCAGCUUGGGAAAUAGAUCUCCAGCUCUCUCCUCAGGACACUGGGACUUGGCUGUUCUCUCAUGGAUUCUUCAGCACUGCCUAGGAUCCAAGCGGUGUCUCUUUGCCUUGGGCUCCGGCUGCCGGGCCAGCACUGCUGUUCUCCCACUGGGCUGGAAGACAGUGGGAUGGCCGCUUUUGCAGUCAUCAGCUCAGGUCAUUGGAUCCUUCGAAGGUGAGAACAGCUGCCUUUACCCUCACUGUGCAUGGUCCCCCUGCUGGGGGUCAGAGGACAAGAAUGACAUCCUUGGCUGGCCUCCCUGCCUCCCCACCAAGGAGAGGAGCAUCAUCAGUUUCAGGUCUCUUCUGCAGUUCUGCAAGUAUAAAAGCUAUUUAUUCUUUAUCUCCUGAGGUGCUGGGGGAGAAAAGGCUUUGCAAAGACUCUUCUGGCUUUGGAAAAGAACGAGGUACCGAUUCCAAAGCACGGGGGUGAUUUCUCUUUUCCUAACAAACGUCUCCAGGUACGAAGCGGGCCCAGCUUCCCCUGCAUCUCCCCAGGAAAAGGCAGGUAGGGAGGACAGAGGCUCGGCUGGAGCGGGCUGGCUCCUCCACAGCAGUAAUUUCCUUUCUCCAGUUUUGAAAGCAGAGUCAAGUGAUUAGCCCAGAGUGAGGAGAUAUGGGAAGGAAAACCCAGAAGGCUGGGAUGGCCUGUAAUACAGGCAAUCUGUUUCUGGAAAUCGUCAGCCAGAGGUAGUUGUCAUUGAACAGUGUGUGUGUAAAGAAGAGCAAUUAUGCUUGCAAUUAUGUUUACAUGUUAGCUUCAUUAGUUUGUGCAUCAUUACACAUUAUAUUUUAAAGACAUAAAUAUAAUUUAAGUACAAGAUGUUGCUCAAUGGUAUAGCACUUGCCUAGCAAUGAGUAUGAGGCCCUGAGUUUGACCUCCAGUAUAAAAAAAAUUAAAAAUAAUACAAAGGCUGGACUCCAUUAAAGAAUGGUGUUCUCAAGAAAGAAAAAUUUCAGUAGGUUUUUUAAAAAGUAUUUCAGCCAUCUAAGCAUAUACCUACAAUACUAGCUACUCAGGAGGCUGAAGUGGGAGAAUUUCAAAUUCAAGCAAAAGCCUGGGCCAUUUAGCAAGAUUGGUUCAAAAUAAGGUUUAUAAAGUGGUGGCUUAUAGCUCAGGACAGAGCACUUUCCCAGCAUGCCUGAAUUUCUGGGUUAAAUUUCCAUUACUAAAAACAAGACAAAAACCUAUACCCCUGCCUUGUAUCUACCUCCCAAUAUAACAUUAAAACACAUUUAGGAAAAUCGAAGUGAAGAAUUUGAAAACUAGAUUUUCUUUAGCCAGCAUGCCUGACUCCUGGACCCUGCUGCCCAGUAAACUUUCCAAAUGACAAACCUAACUGUAUCAUUUUAUUAAUUAAAAUGCUUUCCCCAGUGAAA
Long non-coding RNA from Cavia porcellus (domestic guinea pig), 1985 nucleotides. RefSeq lists it as uncharacterized. The transcript has 2 exons. The record is from RefSeq and is a predicted model, not a curated record. Lineage: Eukaryota; Metazoa; Chordata; Mammalia; Rodentia; Caviidae.